RNA transcript from Canis lupus familiaris (dog), 3606 nucleotides. It is a transcript of the gene named nei like DNA glycosylase 3, with no coding region annotated. The record is from RefSeq and is a predicted model, not a curated record. Lineage: Eukaryota; Metazoa; Chordata; Mammalia; Carnivora; Canidae. The transcript is spliced from 12 exons.
UCGGCGCCCAGUACCUGCGCGGGGAUUCGGUUGCGGAGCUGCCUCCUCCUGCGCCUAGCGGCCCGCAGUGGGGGUCGGGAGAUGGUGGAAGGACCAGGUUGUGCUCUAAAUGGAGAGAAAAUUCGGGCGAAGGUGCGCCCGGGCCAGGCGGUGCUGGACGUGCGGGGAAGCGCCCUGCAGAGCCUGGGAGGCCCGGCCUUGCCUCGCGCAGCCUCGCUGGCUGUGGUCUCUUCCCAGGCUGCUGCACUGAAUGAUAAUAAAGAUUCCAGCCAGAAUUUCUCGAGACUGUUGAAUGGCUGCGUUUACUGCGGUGUACAGACUUUGGGGAAGGAGCUCCUUAUGUACUUUGGGCCAAAAGCUUUACGGAUUCAUUUUGGGAUGAAAGGCUCCAUCAUGAUUAAUCCACUUGAAUACAAAAAUAAAAAUGGAGUUUCUCCUGGUUUGGAAAUACAGCUCACCAAAGAUCUGAUUUGUUUCUUUGACUCAUCGGUAGAAUUCAGAAACUCAGCAGAAAGCCAACAGAGAGUAAGAAUGAUGGAAGAAUUAGAUGUAUGUUCACCUAAAUUUAGUUUCUCCAGAGCCGAAAGUGAAGUGAAAAAGCAGAAAGGACGGAUGUUGUGUGAUGUGUUAAUGGACCAGAGGGUGUUGCCUGGGGUAGGGAAUAUCAUCAAAAACGAAGCUCUCUUCGACAGUGGUCUCCACCCAGCUGUUAAAGUUUGUCAGUUGACAGAUGAACAGACUCAUUACCUUGUGAAGAUGAUACGUGACUUCAGCAUUCUUUUUUACAGGUGCCGUAAAACGGGAUCUGUUAUCUCGAAACACUAUAAGGUUUAUAAGCGUCCUAACUGUUGUCAGUGCUGUUGCAAAAUAACUGUGUGUCGCCUAGGAGAGAAUAACAGGAUGACAUAUUUCUGUCCUCGAUGUCAAAAAGAAAAUCCUCAACAAGUUGACAUUUGCAGGUUGCCCAGGAGAGACACUACAAUCAGGUGGCCGUCUAGCAGGGGGGACCAUGUGGCUGGGAAGUCUGAAGAGCAGUGGGCGUGCGUGGUCUGUACGCUGCUCAAUAGGCCGUCUUCGAAGACGUGUGAUGCUUGCCUGACUUCCAGGCCUACCGACUUAGCCAUCAAGAAUGAAGACAAUUCUAUUGGCUUUACCAACUUAGUGAAAUAUCCUUGUAAUAGCUUUGGAAAACCAAGUACAGAAGUGAAGAUCAACAGGAAAACAGCCUUUGGAACUACAACCCUCGUCAUGGUCGAUUUCAGCAAUAAAUCCAGUGGUCUGGAAAGAAAAACAAGCCAAAACCAGAUACUGGAUGGAGAAUUUCAAAACCCUCCUCAGACUAACGUUUGUUCUAGUGAUGAUCCACUUCACCCUUCCAAGGAGAGAACAAACCGUACCCCUCAACCAUCUGACAAAGUAAAUGUAUCGCCUGCGGUCUGCGCUCAGUCUAAAUUAUUUAGUCCAGCAUCUAAAAAAUUGAAAACAACCCACCCCUCAUCACUAGACCUCAAAAGUGCUCACCCUGGGUUUUCUAACAGUGAACCUGGAAUUAAUAUGACAGAUGGAGCUUGUGUGUUAAAUGCUGACAGUCCUCGCUGCAGUAAACACAACCGCCUCUGCGCUCUCCGAAUUGUGCGGAAGGAUGGCGACAACAAGGGCAGGCGGUUUUAUGCUUGUUCUCUACCUAGAGAAGCACAGUGUGGGUUUUUCCAGACCUCAAGGAGGCUUCUGUGUCCAUUGUGGGUCAAGCUCUAAGUGAACCCCGCUCUAGACUCUGGGCAACCGGAUGACUGGGUUCUGCACACACUCAAAGACGACACUGGAGAGCCAACCACAGCAGGCAGAUUCUGGAGAGGUGAGAGGUUUGGGAGGACAGACCAGCUGAGGUAACCUCCCAUGUUUUACAGUUUAUAGUCUCACCCUGAGGGCAGAACAACGUGAGAACCAAGCAGGCUGGCCAGAGUCUGACAGAAAAGGAGCCCAAAGAGGCCUCGGUCAGCCUGAGCAACCACAGCCACUGGGGAUGGGGAGGGGAAAGAGGAGACCUAAGAGGGGGAACCCCGGGGUCCAGUGCUUAAACUCUUUCCUGGCCCUCGCCUGACCCCUGAACACAGAGCAGCAAAAGACAGAAGAACCCAACCAAGAUCUGACCCACUGCCUGAGAGGAUUCGCAGUUUGAAUCCAACCAAACUAAUUGCUGGUAGAGACAAAACCAUCAACACGCUCUAAAGGAAAACACCAAACCCAGACCCUCCUCCAUGUGAUAUUCAGGGUUCCACCCAAAUUAUGCAACAUAAGAGGAACCAGAAUAACGUGACCCGAUUUCAGAGAAAAGACCAACAACGGAGACCAACUCCAAGAUGACCGAGAAAUGGGAAUUAGCCAACACGGAUUUUAAAGCAGCUAUUAGGACUCUGCCCGUUGAAGGCUGCCAACGGCCCGCGAUGCCAGGCAGGAAAGCACACGGGGAAGAAGCAAUACAGAAAACCCGUAAAGGCAAAUAUCCAAAGCAUUAUGAGAUAUGUUCUAUUUCCCCUGGUUUCUUUGCAAUACAUGGGGCUGUCGAAAGCAAGAUAGCGCAACAUUGACUUGUGAGAAUCAUACCAAGCUUUGGGCCUUGCACACAGUAGAAACUCGGAGCUGGUGGGCAGAGAGCUGGCCGGUGCACGCUGGGACCUGUGCUAGAUGACCGAUGCACGCUUUUGAACAAAUGAAGAGGAAGCUAUUCUUCAGGCAUCAUGGGCAACUGUAGGUAUAGUGUCAAAUUACUAUAUUCUGGAAUAAGAUGGAGUUCUUAAGACCGCUAGUUCAAAGACCUGCCCUUUCCUUUCCCUUGACCUUGACCAUGUGACCCUGAACAUGAUAUUUUAUUAAGCUUUGGCCACUGAGUGCUAAGUCCCAGUUAACUCGUCAGUGAAAUCAUGGAAACCACAAGACCACCCCGCAGCACCGUUUUGAGGGUAACGUGCUGUAAGCAUCUAAAGGUCUUGUUAGCCCAGCACUUGGUUAAAAAAACUCAAGUUGGUUUCAUUAUCUUUAUGGUCUACAGUAGGUACUCUGCAUACUACUACAACCACAACUAUUCUGGGAAGUUUCAGAGAGGAAAGAGCAGUGCCAGUGGUCUUACAGAGGGAUUUGCAUUUCACUUGUGUGAGGGCCAGAGGAAGUACAUGCUGUGUCUGGGGAACAGGGAGCCCAGAGCUUCAAAAAAGGGCAAAUGUUAGGAAGGAGAUGCUGGGGUGAGUUUUAUGCUUCCCGUGAUAGCUCAAGAAGAAUGUUAAUUCACGAAGGAAAUCCAAGGUUUCAGAGAAAUCCAGGCAUGUAUUACAUUCUAGAUGGAAAUCCUAUAAACCCAAUAAGGAAUGUAAAUCACUGUCAAUACAAUUUUAGGCCUGUUUCUUUGACGGCAGAAGAGACUCAGCUUUAAGGGUGCCUCCGUGGGUCUCUGUUAAGUGUCUGCCUUCUGCUCAGGUCAUGAUCUCAGGUUCUGGGUGGAGCCCUGCGUCCUGUCCCCCUUGAUCAGCAAGGAGACUGCUUCUCCUCUGCCCCUCCCCCUGCUCAUGCUCUCUCUCUCUCUCUGAAGUAAAUAGAAAAAAAAAAAAAAAA